UAAAUAUGUCUCUACAUGCCAUGUAUUACAUCUCCCUUACAUCUCGGUGUACACUGUUCAUGCCAUCUUCAGUACAUUUUACAUUUUUACCGAAACUGGUCGAUAAUAGAAUCACCUAGAAAUAUUCUUUGAGAAAUCACGUGGGCGGCGCGCCGAUAUCAAGUGACAUAUAAAUCAUAAAUUUGUAAUCAGGGGACCGUACAAAGUAGCGCUCCUUAUAAGGUUUAAAUAUCCCGUUACACGGUUCAUACUUGAUUUAUAGGCUACACUAGAAUGUAUCGUGCUAAAAAGUCUUCUUGAUAUCGAUAAACGAGGCGCUAACAUUUAAUUGUCUUACAUUAAAAUCAGGCGGUAUAAGAUCAAUACGAAAGUUGAAACACAGCUUCAAAAUAGUUUAUCGAAUAAUCUUUAUUGUUUUUAAUGUGUACUGCUAACUGCUCAUUUUCUAACAUAUUUCCUGAUCAUUAUUGUAUCUACUAACCAAGUUAUCAUAUUUGGAACAAGAAUAUGAAAUGAAUACCUAUUUAAUGUUGAUUCACAUAUUUCUCUAAUUUAAUUUCCAAAAUUCUGAUAUCUGAUAUAAUGGUAAUCUGUCGCACUUAGAUACAAUAGGUUUAUGUCUUAUCAAUAAAUGAUAUUUUCUUAUAGGAUGGUUACUAAGACACUACUCUACUGUCUACAGGAGAAAAACAAGUCGACUUGCCUUAUGCUUUGUUUUGCGUGUUUCAGCUGAUGACUAUAACUCUCAAGUGCGAAAUGUUUGUCAAAUACAACUAUAAAAGGGACGAAUGGAUAUCAACCGUUUGUGUCAUGGAGGAUAUUUUCUGGUCAAUUUUCCUCAGUGACGUGUAAACUUAGAAGAACGUUGGCGCCGUACACCGAUAUAGACUCCUAACGCAUCAAAAUUGAAAUUUUAGGGGACUGCUGAUGCCUGACAUUGUCCUCAUUCCUGCAUGCGUAACUUCGGGGAACUGUGCAGAAAAAAGUAGUACAGUGGAGGUUUUAUCAGCAAGUGGAGUUGGAACAACGUCUCCGGAAUCAUGGAGGGUGGCAAUGAAAAUAAUUUUCUUACAGUCACUUAUACCUGCUGACCAAGGAUUUUCGCUAAAUAUGCAAAAUAUUGCAUCAGGAUUUGAUCGAGGAACGAUGGCAUUCUGCUUAACAUGCAGCUUUGUUUAACUGUUUAACUACGUAAUAAUGGGGGAGAUAUUAGAUGAGGAUGUGAUAUAUUAUGGUAAUAUCGUCUAUUAUAUGUAAAUUAUUAAUACUACUGAAAAGAAAUAUCCAGCUUAUCAGGAUUUAACCUAACUCUAGUGAAAUGAGCAUUAAGAUAUUCAAAUUUGUAUAAUGUUUGAGUAUUUCCUUGACUAACUAUAACUUCAGUCAGAUUUGCAGUCAGCAAUGUAGGCUUGGAGUACACUGUUGUAUUAAUAUAAGAGUUUUAAAAUAUUUAACCUCAAUCAACAAUCAAUACUAUGUCCUAAAUUUUAUUUGCUUGUAAAAUUGAA
Bolinopsis microptera is the source of this 1508-nucleotide long non-coding RNA. RefSeq lists it as uncharacterized. The transcript is spliced from 4 exons. NCBI's taxonomy places the organism in Eukaryota, Metazoa, Ctenophora, Tentaculata, Lobata, Bolinopsidae. The record is from RefSeq and is a predicted model, not a curated record.